CACGUAUUUAGCCGGAGCUUUCUUCUAUGGUACUGUCAUUAUCUUCCCAUAGGACAGAACUUUACGAUACGAAUACCUUCUUCGUUCACGCGGCGUCGCUGCAUCAGGGUUUCCCCCAUUGUGGCAAUAUUCCCCACUGCUGCCUCCCGUAGGAGUUUGGACCGUGUCUCAGUUCCAAUGUGGCCGUUCAUCCUCUCAGACCGGCUACUGAUCGUCGCCUUGGUGGGCUGUUAUCUCACCAACUAGCUAAUCAGACGCGAGCCCAUCUAUGACCGAUAAAUCUUUGACCGUUAAAACAUGUGUUUCUACGUAUUUUAUGCGGUAUUAAUCCCGGUUUCCCGAGGCUAUCCCACUGUCAUAGGCAGGUUGCUCACGCGUUACUCCACCCGUUCGCCACUCUCAUUAAUAAUCUUCGCCGAGGCUUCUGUUUACUAAAUCCCCGUUCGACUUGCAUGUUGUUAAGCACCGGCCGCCAGCCGUUCGUCCUGACGCCCGAGGACUCGUAAACUCUUCGUCGUACG
RNAcentral lists this ribosomal RNA (521 nucleotides) under uncultured Finegoldia sp. RNAcentral describes it as "partial 16S ribosomal RNA". Lineage: Bacteria; Bacillati; Bacillota; Tissierellia; Tissierellales; Peptoniphilaceae. The record is from RNAcentral.